RNAcentral lists this ribosomal RNA (261 nucleotides) under uncultured bacterium. RNAcentral describes it as "partial 16S ribosomal RNA". It matches the Rfam family "Bacterial small subunit ribosomal RNA", at positions 1238 to 1500 of the family's 1533-position model. The record is from RNAcentral.
AACAGAGAGAAGCAAUAACCGCGAGGUGGAGCAAAACUUCAAAAAUGGUCUCAGUUCGGACUGUAGGCUGCAACUCGCCUACACGAAGUUGGAAUUGCUAGUAAUCGCGGAUCAGCAUGCCGCGGUGAAUACGUUCCCGGGCCUUGUACACACCGCCCGUCACACCAUGGAGCCGGUAAUACCCGAAGUCAGUAGUCCAACCUCGUGAGGACGCUGCCGAAGGUAGGAUUGGCGACUGGGGUGAAGUCGUAACAAGGUAAC